This 429-nucleotide ribosomal RNA is filed under the name Acidobacteriota bacterium. RNAcentral's name for it is "Acidobacteria bacterium partial 16S ribosomal RNA". It matches the Rfam family "Bacterial small subunit ribosomal RNA", at positions 355 to 776 of the family's 1533-position model. The record is from RNAcentral. Lineage: Bacteria; Pseudomonadati; Acidobacteriota.
UGGGGAAUUUUGGACAAUGGGGGAAACCCUGAUCCAGCCAUCCCGCGUGUGCGAUGAAGGCCUUCGGGUUGUAAAGCACUUUUGGCAGGAAAGAAACGUCAUGGGUUAAUACCCCGUGAAACUGACGGUACCUGCAGAAUAAUCACCGGCUAACUACGUGCCAGCAGCCGCGGUAAUACGUAGGGUGCAAGCGUUAAUCGGAAUUAAUGGGCGUAAAGCGUGCGCAGGCGGUUCGGAAAGAAAUAUGUGAAAUCCCAGAGCUCAACUUUGGAACUGCAUUUUGAACUACCGGGCUAGAGUGUGUCAGAGGGAGGUGGAAUUCCGCGUGUAGCAGUGAAAUGCGUAGAUAUGCGGAGGAACACCGAUGGCGAAGGCAGCCUCCUGGGAUAACACUGACGCUCAUGCACGAAAGCGUGGGGAGCAAACAGG